CACGGGGGUAACCCUGGUGGCGAGUGGCGAACGGGUGAGUAAUACAUCGGAACGUGUCCUGUAGUGGGGGAUAGCCCGGCGAAAGCCGGAUUAAUACCGCAUACGAUCUACGGAAGAAAGCGGGGGACCGAAAGGCCUCGCGCUAUAGGGGCGGCCGAUGGCAGAUUAGCUAGUUGGUGGGGUAAAGGCCUACCAAGGCGACGAUCUGUAGCUGGUCUGAGAGGACGACCAGCCACACUGGGACUGAGACACGGCCCAGACUCCUACGGGAGGCAGCAGUGGGGAAUUUUGGACAAUGGGGGAAACCCUGAUCCAGCAAUGCCGCGUGUGUGAAGAAGGCCUUCGGG
This 347-nucleotide ribosomal RNA is filed under the name uncultured bacterium. RNAcentral's name for it is "bacterial SSU rRNA". It matches the Rfam family "Bacterial small subunit ribosomal RNA", at positions 72 to 422 of the family's 1533-position model. The record is from RNAcentral.